GGGUGUGGCCCAGUGGUUGAGUGCUUGCCUAGCAUGCAUGAGAUCCUGGGUUCAUUUCCCAGCAUGCCCA
RNAcentral lists this transfer RNA (70 nucleotides) under Fukomys damarensis (Damara mole-rat). It matches the Rfam family "tRNA". Rfam says of the family: Transfer RNA (tRNA) molecules are approximately 80 nucleotides in length. Their secondary structure includes four short double-helical elements and three loops (D, anti-codon, and T loops). Lineage: Eukaryota; Metazoa; Chordata; Mammalia; Rodentia; Bathyergidae. The record is from Rfam by way of RNAcentral.